ACACAGCAGAGUGUUGAUUGUUAUCAAAUUAGAUAACACAGUGUUGUGUUUAUUAUUCAGUGACAUCAUAGCUGUGCUAACCAAAUAAAAUAUACAUAAACAUUUUAUCUCUUUAGCAAUCAUCACAAUCUGUAGCCCAGGAAAGCAAAAGUUAUUAAUAUUAGAAAAAAUUUUUAAUUAUUUUUAUUUUUCCAUUAUAGUUGGUAGACAGAGUUCUGUCCGUUUUCUACUGUCCAGCAAAGUGACCCAGUCAUACACACAUAUAUACAUCCUUUUUCUCACAUUAUCCUCCAUCAUGCUCUUCAUAAGUGACUAGAUAUAGUUGCCAGUGCUAUACAGCAGGAUCUCAUUGCUUAUCCAUUCCAAAGGCAAUGGUUUGCAUUUAAAAUGAAAUUUUCAAGCACGAGAUAUGCAGAAUCUCACUACAGAUGAGCCUUAGCAGUUACACAUCUGCAGUAAAUUUGGAUGAUGAAGAAUACUAAUUUUGAACCCUAGUUAAGCCAAAUAUUCCCCCCCAAUUUUUGAUUUUUACCAAUAGUAGAUCUGUGUCUCUCUCUCUCGGGUACACACACCACAUCGACACAAUUGCUGUUGAUCACUGCUACUUCAUUUGAAAGUCACCAGUUAAAACAACUGCGGAGAUGUUUUUUAUCUUUUUGUAUAGAUAUCUACACAGUAUCCUAUGCUGUGCCUUUUUGCCCGCAAAGCUUAAGAGAUUUACUGUCUGGCUCUUUACUAAAUAAGUUUGCCAUUACCUGUCUAAAGUACAUAAAAAUACUUUCCUUCUAUGAAACAAUACUUUUAUGUCAUAAGACUAAUAUUUUGAUUACGUAGUUAAUAAAUAGUUCAUUCUACAGUUGUUUUUAAGACACAAGUUAGGUAUCGUUUCAUUAUUGAUUUACACAUUUGAAAAAUAUUUAACAUUUCUAGUCUCUUUACUGCCAUUCUUUCUAAUGCCUAAGCCCUCCCUUUCUCAACCCUUUUCCUUUCCCCUGAAGUAUAUCAUUUAGAACAAUUUUAAGGAGGAUUCAGCUUUGGCUGAUGUUUAUUUUGUCUUUAUUUCCAAUGUAUAAUUUUGCUGAGUAUACUCUGAAAGUUAUUUUCGUUUAGCAUGGGGAAAUAUUUCCUCCUGUCUCUGGGCUUCCACAGUGGUUGCUGAAAAUUCUGCUACUGGUGCUGUGUUCUUAGAUACUCAGAGGACUUCUAAACUUCAACAUACUCAUCACCAAUCUAGAGUGGGUACUAUAGCUAAUUUUAAUAAUAACAUAAUCCUUAGCAUAAAUGAUUUAAUAUUCUAAACUUCAACAUGCCUUGCCCUUCUUUUCAAAUUUUUCAAUAUUUUUUAAUCUGAGCUUUAGAGGAAUUUAAGAUUAUAGUGAAAUUUUCAAACACAGCAUUGCUGAAAGUAUAUCAAUUUUUUUACUCUGCAUAAUGAAGAUAACAUAUAAAUAUGUAACAGUGCUUUUCUUUUGUGCAUUCGCAUCCAUAGAUGAUUUAAUAUUACUAAAAUUAAAAUAUUGCCACCCAUUUUCAGAUGCAUUGUUCCAUUUUAUUCUGGCAGCAGUCCUACGUAUUAGACAGCUGUGGUAGACUAUAUUUUUCAAAAUUUGUUGCACAAAUAGCUCCCACUACUUGCUUGUCUUAUAUUGUGACUUUUACCCCUCCUUUUGAAGGUAGGUGUGAUUAUGACAGGUAUGUCCCUGGGAUCUCUGACCUUAGGUGUAAAAGUCCCACAGUAUCUGCCUGAGUUAUUUGGGUGCUCAUUGUAGACCCGAGUCUUUGUGAGGAAGUCCUGUGACCACAGGGAGAGGCUCCAUGUAAGUGUUCCAACUGAGAUUCCUGGUGACAUACCAACCAUCAGGCAGAGGGAGGCAGACUUCAGAUGCCUUCAGCCCAGGCCAUUGCGGCACCCCCAGGCAGUUACAUCCUGUGGAGCAGAAAUGGGCUGUUCUUAUCAAUCCCUGCCAAAAGAGCAAAAUAAAUCUCUAUUAUUUUAAGCCACUAUGUUUGAAGUACUUUGUUUCCCUGCCACAAAUGACUAGAUAGUUAUUAUUUUCAUCAAUUGAAACAAAAAUGGUAUGAGUCUUAGCAUAACAAGUGAAUUAGCUUUUCCAGUUCACAUAGCAACUGAGUAAAGAUAGAGGAUUACACGAACAUUUUUAAACUCUGCAACCUUUAUAUAUAUUAAUAUUUGUAAUUUCGCAUAGAACCCCAAUAAGAUACACACCACUGAGGAUCUUGAUAAUAAACAUGGGGCACAGGGAAGUUAAGGCAAAGCGUCCAAAUUUAUACAAGUUGUAAGUGGCCAUAGCCCAGAUGCAAACCUGGUAGCUUCUCUCUCAAAUAUGUUUUCUUAACCAUUCUAUAAUCAGACUUUUCGACUUCUUCCUCUUUCCACUAAUCCAUAUCACAUUGACAGCUCUAAAACCGUAAAAGUUUAAGACAGGAAUUGAGUUAUCUGCCCUAAUAUUUGGUUUAGCAGUCUAAAAAGAGCAGAGGCAGGUUCUCUCUGCUAAUAAUGACACAUACAUACAAACUAUGUGCACAUGUUCAGAGGGUUACAGACCUGCUUGAAGCCAAGAGAUUUAACUGUAGGUUGUAGGAAACUCACAGUCUCCUUUUUUACAUCGUAAGUGGACCUCCAGACCUCUAAUGUGAAGCAACAGAAGGAAAUUUACACCAUAAUGAUGCAAAAUGAAGAAAUUGAUGAAUUACUCUAAGCAGAGAUAAAAUGGAAAUCAACUUAGUUUUAUCAAGAUACAUUAGGCAGUUUCCCAAUCUGCAUAUUUAUUAUGAAUAACACUCUCCUUUUUCUACAAUAAGUUUAUCUUAGGAAUGGCUUUUGAUAAUGCUCCUGUCUAUGAUUCCUUCUUUGUAUUAAAAGAUUAGCAUCCAAUAUUAAUCUUAAGACUUAGACUUUUGGCCAAAGCAUUGAUGUUUAGUAGAAUCCAAAAAAUAAAUUGACGUCUAAAUUGUUUAAGUGCAAUGGGAAU
This 2993-nucleotide long non-coding RNA is filed under the name Sus scrofa (pig). RNAcentral's name for it is "lncRNA (ENSSSCG00000054986.1)". Lineage: Eukaryota; Metazoa; Chordata; Mammalia; Artiodactyla; Suidae. The record is from RNAcentral.